GACGAACGCUGGCGGCGUGCUUAACACAUGCAAGUCGAACGGAAAGGCCCCUUUGUGGGUACUCGAGUGGCGAACGGGUGAGUAACACGUGCGUAACCUUCCCUUGACUUCGGGAUAACUUCAGGAAACUGGGGCUGAUACCGGUUAGGAAUCCUUGCUGCAUGGGGGGGGUUGGAAAGCUUCGGCGGGUUUGGAUGGACUCGCGGCGUAUCAGCUUGCUGGUGGGGUAGUGGCUUACCAAGGCUUUGACGGGUAGCCGGCCUGAGUGGGCGACCGGCCACACUGGGACUGAGGUACGGCCGAGACUCCGACGGGAGGGAGCAGGGCGGAAUAUUGCACAAGGGGCGGAAGCCUGAUGCAGAAACGCCGCGGGCGGGAUGACGGUCUUCGGGUUGUAAAACGCUUUCAGCAGGGGCGAAGCUUGUGGUGACGGUACCUGCAGAAGAAGCACCGGCUAACUACGUG
This 465-nucleotide ribosomal RNA is filed under the name uncultured bacterium. RNAcentral describes it as "partial 16S ribosomal RNA". It matches the Rfam family "Bacterial small subunit ribosomal RNA", at positions 28 to 507 of the family's 1533-position model. The record is from RNAcentral.